This 354-nucleotide ribosomal RNA is filed under the name Triticum aestivum (bread wheat). Its description in RNAcentral is "partial small subunit ribosomal RNA". The record is from RNAcentral. Lineage: Eukaryota; Viridiplantae; Streptophyta; Magnoliopsida; Poales; Poaceae.
UUGCAGGUAACUUUGCCAGAUGGUUUGAUGAAAGCGCUUGAGAUUCUUCAAUUUGUUAUGGAUGUAGAUUACUAUCCAAAUGUCUUUCUUGCCUAUCGGAUCCUCCCAACAGUGCAUGUGUCUAUAGCCUCAGCUGAAAGAAGUUUUAAACUGAUGAAACUAUUGGAAAAUUAUUUGAGGUCAACUAUGUUGAAAGACAAAUUGAAUGACUUGGCUAUGUGCUGCAUUGAGAAGUAUAUAUUGGACAACGUUGAUCUUGAUUGUGCACAUCAAGAAACGCCCGAAGAAACUUUUUCUGAAGCACCGAAGUAUUAUUGUUGUCGAUGGAGUCAACCGAAUUUGGUUCUUAUUUAA